Molecule: non-coding RNA, 28 nt
Filed under: Rattus norvegicus (Norway rat)
Lineage: Eukaryota; Metazoa; Chordata; Mammalia; Rodentia; Muridae
Source: RNAcentral
CCAGGAGACGAUACGUACACUACCAUUC